Molecule: ribosomal RNA, 449 nt
Filed under: uncultured bacterium
Lineage: Bacteria
Description: partial 16S ribosomal RNA
Rfam family: Bacterial small subunit ribosomal RNA
Source: RNAcentral
AGCGAACGCUGGCGGCAGGCUUAACACAUGCAAGUCGAACGGACCCUUCGGGGUUAGUGGCGGACGGGUGAGUAACACGUGGGAACGUGCCUUUAGGUUCGGAACAACACAGGGAAACUUGUGCUAAUACCGGAUGUGCCCUUCGGGGGAAAGAUUUAUCGCCUUUAGAGCGGCCCGCGUCUGAUUAGCUAGUUGGUGGGGUAAAGGCCUACCAAGGCGACGAUCAGUAGCGGGUGUGAGAGGAUGGCCAGCCACAUUGGGACUGAGACACGGCCCAAACUCCUACGGGAGGCAGCAGUGGGGAAUCUUGCGCAAUGGGCGAAAGCCUGAUGCAGCCAUGCCGUGUGGAUGAUGAAGGUCUUAGGAUUGUAAAAUCCUUUCACCGGGGACGAUAAUGACGGUACCCGGAGAAGAAGCCCCGGCUAACUUCGUGCCAGCAGCCGCGGUAA